Molecule: long non-coding RNA, 6537 nt
Organism: Rattus norvegicus (Norway rat)
Lineage: Eukaryota; Metazoa; Chordata; Mammalia; Rodentia; Muridae
Source: RefSeq, a predicted model, not a curated record
GUCGUCGAUGGGGUCAACUAAGUGUUUGAUGUUCACCUUCCUUGCGUUGUAGUAAUUACCAUCCGCGGCCCUUCCCGCACGCUCUACGGCCACCAGAUGGUCGAAUCUGCCCAGAACCAAUGGUGCCCAGGAGUCUGACCAAGGAGGACCUACUGUGUGCAAGGGCCGUCACAGGGUUCUAAUUCACUACAUUGUUGGUGGGAAGACACAGCCCUGGACGGAUGGAUGCCAGAAGCCGGAGGAGUCCCUGCGACCUCCACCCAGGAAGAGACACUUAAAAACCUUGUCAGCAAGGUUACAAGGAUGUGGUCUUCCCUACCACAUGCACUCCAUUUGGGGUACAAUAUACAUACCUAGGAGACUUGGGGUCCCCAUCUUUGCACAGAAAUGCCCGAGCAUCUUCCACGGAUCCUCCUCGGUAAGUUAAUAUGGGGAUUGGUGUCUUGAGAACUCCUUGAGAAUAAAGACAAUGGGUAGCCUCGUCAGUGCUGGGGCCUGGUAUGCUUUGGGAAAGUAUCUUCAGACAGUUUUUUAACCAUUAUUGAAUGGUCUCCCUCAAUACGCUUUCAUAGAACUCAUAGGCUUACUUUUAGUUCUGACUGAACUACAGUUGACAGGGGAUGGAGGGUUGAACUAGAUCGGUAUAGACCUGAGGAUAUGUGGUGUGUUAAAUGCUCUAUAACACCAAGUCAACAGAAGGUCUGUUCUGGCCCGUUGCCAGCAAGAAUACUGAGUACAGUUUAGAUGCCCAGAUGACAGUGGCCCGGCAUUUGACAAGGACGCUCUCAUUUAAAUGUCAUAUUCAUGUUCCAAAUGUAAUCAUUACUUUGCAUUUUACAGAAGAAGAAAACGGAUGCUCAGACACCAAGGAAGUUGGUCAGAGUCAGCUAUAGCGUCUCUGUUGGCCAUCACAGCUCCGGUUCUGUCUUAGUUUAAUUUUUGUCUUGUGAUACGACACCCCGACCGAAGGCAAUUUAGGGGAAGAAAGGGUUAAUUAGUGUGCAAUGCUAAUCCGCAGUCCAUCACUGAAGGGAAGGAAGUUGAGGCAGGACCUUGAGCAAUUACAUUACAUCCACAGUCAAGAGCAGUCGCUACCUGCUUGCUGCUGGCUUCCUCCUCUUUUAAACUAUCUGGGAGCCCCUACCCAGGGAAUGGUUGUGCCCACAGUCCCACACAGACAUGUCCGCAAGCCAGCUUGAUCUUUUGUCAGGUUGUAGCAGAAUGUAGACAUUUUAAAACCAGCCAUUAAAUUCCUGUUCCUAGACCUUACUAGUUCCCUCUCCAGACAAACAUUCCUUCAGAGGAGAUCAAGAACAACGGAGGCAGAGUCCCAGAGACUUGGGUUAGUGUGGGGCCAGGGAGUCAUGGGAUGGGGGUAGCAGGCCAUGGGCAAGAGUGAAGUUGAGGUGUGUCCAAACCCCAGAAAUCUUGUUGUGUGAUCGGCAGGAGUUGGAUCGCUCCCCUGCUCCCCAGGUCUUGCACGUCCUGGCACAUGUGUAGCCCUGCACCCCCACCUUUGACCCUCCCCCCACAAAGAGGUCACAUAGCCCUCUAGCCAGGUUAAACUCUCCCCUUAUAAGGUCAUGUCCAGCAGCACCUGGAAUCCCUCUUUAUGUAAAUGAGGCAUUCCAAGAACCCUGGCCUGGACCAAUGAUGUACACUCACCCCAAAAGCCCCACCCACCCCCAAAGGUUUAAGAAGCUUUCGUUCCCCCCAUUAAGUGAGUUGUCCCACUUAAGCUGUCCCCCAAGAGUCUGUUCUCUCUGUACUAUGCUCACAGCUGCUUGUGAAUCUCUUUUGAUCCCGGUCUUAUUGUCUCUCUUCUCCACUCAGAAUCCAAUGGUUGCAGUUGAGGCCAUCAAAGGCAGGUUAGUACUUGUAUGGUAGUGAUUACAAAGUGAAGUCGAUUGUUAAAAAAAAGAAUGUUUUGUGAUUACACAAACAAAACACGUUAUUGUAGAUUAUGUGGGAAAUUAAUAUACACAUAUCUCUCCAAAUCAAAUCCAUUUGGUUUUCAUUAGCCUAUGUCUCAGAAGUUUGGGGCAAAAUCCUGGCUUAUCCACAGGCCCAGGGCAAAUCUUCAAGCAGAAGGAAAGAUGGCCAACAGGGCACCCUAGUCAGUGUCCCUGGACUCAGGACUUAGAGGUGUGUGACUGUGGAUAAGCUACACGAACUCUCUGAGGGCCUCCUCUGUAGAGUAAUGGCCACUGGGUUGCAAUGCUAGGGUGGCACCAUAAUGGUCUCGAUACCUGUCAGUUUCCUGGCCGGGGUCUGGUGCAAGUGAGUGCAGCCGUCCCUCAGUUCCCUGACUGCACUGCGUCAGGUGCUACUCAGGGGAGUGGGUACCAGGGAGCCCAGCCAGGCAACAUGAGCCAUGUGUCUGAGAAAGGACACACAAGAUCCCUAUCAAGAGGUCAGAGAGAUGCAGUUCCCUCCUCAGAGCUACAGAGUGCGAUCCUCCUCUGGGCUUGUGCCCCUGACAGGGGAGAAGGGAUUCUGCCUUUUGUUUUUUCUCUAGGUCGUUUCCUACGCCUCAGUAAAAAAGACUGCGGUAGUAAUCAUGAACAAGUCCAGUUGCUGCAUUGGCUUAAUCCAAACCCAACCAAAGUUCUGGGCCUGGCUGUGGUGAUGGCACACAGCUUUGAUCCCAGAACCUGGGAGGCAGAGGCAGGCGGAUCUGAGUUUGAAGCCAGCCUGGUCUGCAGAAUGAGUUCCAGGACAGCCAGGCUCGGCUGAACUCCCAGGAGAAGAGCAGGGCACAGCGCUCUCUCUCUCUCUCUCUCUCUCUCUCUCUCUCUCUCUCUCUCUGUCUCUCUCUCUCUCUCUCUCUGGAUAAUUAAUGCUAAACAUAGCUACAGAGCAGAGUCAGGUGGCACCUCCUGCUGGCCCUGGAGCAGAACUUGACACGGUCAUAUGUCCUGUGAUUUUUCUGGUCUCACUGGCUGAUCUGUCUCGUAUUCCUCGAUGCCUCCUCUCCUUUCUCCUUGUGAGGGACCCCAAGGUGGAAUCCCGGCUUUGUCCCUGUUUAUCCCCACAGUGCUCUCCCUAGAGUGUCCCCGUAGAGGUCACAUGUAACUGGUAUCAGCCUCCUUUUUCACAGAACAAACAACCUCUAUUCUUAAACAUUUUGGUUGCCCUGCAGCCAAGACUUGAGAUGGGUGAAGGUAGUUUCCGGGGAGACAGAGCCAAGAAGCUGAGGGAAGGGAUAGGGAAAGAGAGAGAGAGAGAGAGAGAGAGAGAGAGAGAGAGAGAGAGAGAGUGCGUGUGUGUGUGUGUGUGUGUUUGAGUGUUCUCUAAGAUUUAUGUCAUGGGGUUCUGGAUUGGGUUCACAGAGCUUUGGACCUCCAGGGUACUGACUAGUUAGUGGUGAUGGUGGGGACUGGCCGUCGAGUGGACAGCAGUGGUUGAUAAGAUCACUUGGACUUUCUGGAACCUCAACAUCUUUUUCUACAGAAUGAAACUCUCAUUGCUUAUAACAAAGCUCUAGGCUUGGAGGUAAAACACCGUUACAAGGAAACAUUCUGGAACUGGGUACAUGGCUGAAGACCGGCACAUUGAUUUCCUCCAGUACCCGCUUGGGGACAGAAAAUGACCCACAUCACCGCUCACCUUGCUUCACGGCAUCUUCAACAAUCUUCGUAUGCAAGUUCAAGGCUCUCCGGUCUACCACCAUGGCGGCCUCCUUCCCCAGAGCCUGUAGGAAGGCAGCUAAAGCGAUAGCUCCCGGUGGGCCAUCCGUCUCUUCUGGGGGCUCGUGACUGAAAUGUGUCGGGAAUCCAGUGGUGACCAGUACGGAGUGCGCGUGAGACAGUGACAGAGCUGCCAGCAGUAACUCAUCUUUAAGUAGCAGGUGCCCAAUUCCCCGGUUACCUAAAACCACAAAGAUAACGUAACCUAUCUGGCUGGUUGUGUUUAAGGGAGAUCCGCUGAUAGUUUGGGCCGGUUUUGGUCCAGAAGUCAUGUGGAGGGAUGAGGCAGUCUGACCCCUCCAUAUGCAUUCUUGUCUCUCUGCCUCCCACCUCUCUCUUAGCCACAAGACUGGUUCGGUCUCGAGGCACAUGAAUUGAUGGGUGCCCCGCUGAGCCUGGCCCUAUGUUUCCCUAUGUCUCACCAAUCACCUCCCUCUUUUUGUCGGAAAUGUUGAUUGAUAGCUACAGCAGGUGUGAUGCAGAACCUUUGGGACCCUAAGCGGAUGGGUAAAGCGGGAGUCCCUCCCUUUUAACCCAGACACUCUGAAGUCAUGCUGUGUGCUGUUACAGGGAGGUGACACAGGCUUCUAUGGCUUUUGGGCAAAGUAUGUUGAAGGCAAAGUAUGCUAUUAGAAUCAUUUAGUAAAGCCUAACUAAUAAAAGAAUAUAUAAGGAGGAAAUGGUACACAUUUAUAGGUGAGUCCUUCCCACAAGCCCAAGACAGGGUCUCCUGUGCAAUCUAUUCCAGGAGAUGAUAAUUCUGGAAAACAUAGCAGGAGAUGAGACCCAGAAAACCAAUGAAAGAUUGAGAGUGGCAAGUUAACCCUCGAGGCAACUGGAACUCUGUCCUACCUGAGACCCACGGAGGAUGCACCCUAGAAUUGUCCUAUCAGAGGACCAGAGGUUGCCUUUGUGUUCAUUGGCUUCUGUCCCCUGCUGGGAGAGGGAUGCCAUUAGGGUGUCAACUACAUUGCACCUCCGACUGUACCUCCUAUAAGAGUCAGAUAUUGACUGCCCUCUAGUGGAGGAGCUGAGCAAGUGGGGAGCUAGCCAUUGCCUCUGUAGAGGAACCCAGUUAGUCCCAAGACACGUGUGGGGGGCAAUAGUUGGUGCUACGGUGGGGCCUGCUGAGCAACCCCACUUCCUGACUCUUGUUCAUGCCAGCGCGCCUCUGUCUACCCUCAGAUCUCCUCUACACAAGUGCCUUACGGAGGAGGCGAAGUGUGACUCAACUCUCACCCGAGCCGAGCUGCCUCUAGAGCCGGCCAAAGGGAUGUAGAGGGGCAUUGACUUACAGUUGGGGUUCACAGAGAGCACGAAUAACGCUGGCUUUGAAACCCUACUAUGGAGUCACUGCUCCAGACCGAGUGUAAUUCCAGUACAGGACCUGGCACAUUACAGCUGUGUGUCUUUGGUUCUAUAUUUGGGUUCUUCUACUGGAAAACAGGGAGGGUAGCACCGAUGGAGGAAGUCCAUGGGGACAGAGGCUCCCACCUAUUGGUUUUUGGAGUCGGAACUGGAAGCUGGGCCUGAAAGGUGAAUUUUUUUUUCAAUUCACCUGUUUUUUUUCAAUUCAUGUGUUUUUACAAUUCUCCCAUCUGGUGUCUGACAUCCCAAAUAAAGUAGUCAUAGGCAUUUGUAAAAUUUAGUGAGAAGGGUGUUUACUGUGGCGUUGUUUAGGGUAUCAAGGAUGGAUUAUUAGUCAAAUGGUGGCAUGCUCACACAAUGGAUCCUUUAAAAAGGAUGUUGUGAGCUGAGGGACUCGUUCCUGUGAUCCCAGCUCUCCUCUGGGGAGACUGAGGCAAGUGGAUUGCAGAGAGUUCAAGGCUAGCCUGGGCUAUAAAGUGAAAGUCUGUCUCAGGCAAAUAGUGUGUAGAUGUCAUGGAAAUUAUUUCAUUACAGUUUAUUUUUAAAAGUCUUAAAAUAGCAUCACAGUGGGGUUCCAGUUGCACAUAUUCCUGUAUGCAAAUUAUUUGAGAUAAAAAGGACUUCAAAGGCAAACACAAACCUGUUGAUAAUCUAUUGAUUGUAAUGGAUUCUGGUAUUUAAAAAAAAGUGGGUUGGGGAUUUAGCUCAGUGGUAGAGCGCAAGGCCCUGGGUUCGGUCCCCAGCUCCGGAAAAAAAAAAAGUUGUGGAUAGGUGUAUGUGUUUGUAUGCGUUCUUGUGCAUGUGUGUUUGUGUGAAUGUGCACAUGGAGGCCAGAGAUUGAUAUCAUGAGCCUUUGGUGACUUGCUCAAAUUAAUUGAAAUAAAACUUUAUGUUUUUGUUUUGUUUUUUUGAGGCAGGGUCUCUCACUGAACCUGGACCUCACUGACUUGGCUCGGCUCGGCUGACUGGCCAGUGAGCCUCAAGGAUCCCCUUGUCUGUCUUCUUAGUCCUGGAAUUCCAGGCACCCGCUGCUGUGCCCUGGUUCUUGUGUGUGUGCUGGGGACUGAACCCAGCUCCCCCUCCUGCUGACCCGGCAAGCAUUUAACUAACUGAGCUAUGUCCCCAGGCUCCAGGAUUCGGACGGAAUCAGCACAUCAGACAGUCAUCAAUCUGCCUCCUCGGGGACUCAUGCUUCAAGACCCGUACCAGUCUGCAGGAGCGCCGAUGGGAGGCAGGCGUUGCGUCUGACCUCUCCGCUCAUCCUUACAAAGCGAUGGAUGAACAAGGCAGCCGUAAAUCUGCUGUCUGCGCCUUCUUUUAAACUCAGAGCUAAUUACAGAGUUAAUAAUUCAUCUUUCCUCGUGACACUAUGUUAAAUGGGGGAGCCAUCACCUUGGGACUGUCUGGGAGGGAGAAACCAUUAUAGGAAAAAAUUAAAUAUGUACUCAGGAAAGUAAGGAAGUAAACUUUUUAAAAACUA